GAUGAACUGUGGGUAGCGGAGAAAUUCCAAUCGAACCCGGAGAUAGCUGGUUCUCCCCGAAAUAGUUUUAGGACUAGCCUCAAGUUAGAUACCUGGAGGUAAAGCACUGAAUAGCCUAGCGGCCGAGAGGUUAGCGAAGCUUAUCAAACUCAGAAUGCCAGAGUAUUGAUGCUUGGGAGUCAGACAGUGUCAGAUAAAUGUCAUUGUCAAAAGGGAAACAGCCCAGAUCUACAGCUAAGGUCCCAAAGUCAGGUUAAGUGGAAAACGAUGUGAAGAUACGUAGACAACCAGGAUGUUGGCUCAGAAGCAGCCACACAUUCAAAGAGUGCGUAAUAGCUCACUGGUCGAGCGUCUUUGCGCGGAGAAUUUAACGGGGCUAAACCUGACACCGAAGCUUAGGCAAUACAGCAAUGUAUUGGGUAGGGGAGCGUUGUAUACGCGGUGAAACAGUAGCGCAAGCGGCUGUGGAGUGUAUAGAAGUGAGAAUGCCGGAAUGAGUAGCGCGAAUGCAGUGAGAAUCUGCAUGGCCGAAAGCCUCAGGUUUCUGGAGGAAGGUUCGUCCGCUCCAGGUUAGUCGGGAGCUAAGGUGAGGCCUAACGGCGUAGCCGAUGCACAGACGGUAGAGAUUCCGUCACCACCAAAAGAGUUAAGCACAGGGACACAUUUGAAGUCUCGGAGCCGGGUGUUGGUUCCGGUAGCGAUCGAGGGAAAUUAGUACCGAAGUCCGGGAUGGAAGAUGGCGAGAAAAGCUGUGUGUAUUUCUGCGGUGCCCGUACCGCAAACCGACACAGGUAGGUAGGAAGAAGAUUCUAAGGCCAACGGGAGAAGGGUUGUUAAGGAACUCGGCAAAUUGACCCCGUAACUUCGGGAGAAGGGGUGCUCCAGAGAUGGAGCCGCAGAGAAUCGGCCCAAGCAACUGUUUACCAAAAACACAGGUUUGUGCUAAAUCGAAAGAUGACGUAUACGAGCUGACGCCUGCCCGGUGCUGGAAGGUUAAGAGGAGAUGUGCAAGCAUUGAAUUGAAGCCCCAGUGAACGGCGGCCGUAACUAUAACGGUCCUAAGGUAGCGAAAUUCCUUGUCAGGUAAGUUCUGACCCGCACGAAAGGCGUAAUGAUCUGGACACUGUCUCAACAGCCCGCCCGGCGAAAUUGUAGUACCGGUGAAGAUGCCGGUUACCCGCGACAAGACGGAAAGACCCCAUGGAGCUUUACUGUAGCCUAAUAUUGGGUUUCGAUGUUGCAUGCACAGGAUAGAUGGGACACAGGGAAACAAUCGCUUUGGCGGUUGCGGAGUGGCCGUUGGGAUACCAUCCUUGCGAUAUUGGAAUUCUAACCUGCGGCUCUGAAUCGAGUCGGGGGACAUUGUUAGGUGGGCAGUUUGACUGGGGCGGUCGCCUCCUAAA
Molecule: ribosomal RNA, 1403 nt
Filed under: human metagenome
Description: bacterial LSU rRNA
Rfam family: Bacterial large subunit ribosomal RNA
Source: RNAcentral